GACGAACGCUGGCGGCGUGCCUAAUACAUGCAAGUCGAACGCUUCUUUCCUCCCGAGUGCUUGCACUCAAUUGGAAAGCGGAGUGGCGGACGGGUGAGUAACACGUGGGUAACCUACCCAUCAGAGGGGGAUAACACUUGGAAACAGGUGCUAAUACCGCAUAACAGUUUAUGCCGCAUGGCAUAAGAGUGAAAAGCGCUUUCGGGUGUCGUUGAUGGAUGGACCCGCGGUGCAUUAGCUAGUUGGUGAGGUAACGGCUCACCAAGGCCACGAUGCAUAGCCGACCUGAGAGGGUGGUCGGCCACACUGGGACUGAGACACGGCCCAGACUCCUACGGGAGGCAGCAGUAGGGAAUCUUCGGCAAUGGACGAAAGUCUGACCGAGCAACGCCGCGUGAGUGAAGAAGGUUUUCGGAUCGUAAAACUCCGUUGUUAGAGAAGAACAAGGACGUUAGUAACUGAACGUCUCCUGACGGUAUCUAACCAGAAAGCCACGGCUAACUACGUG
Molecule: ribosomal RNA, 508 nt
Filed under: uncultured bacterium
Lineage: Bacteria
Description: partial 16S ribosomal RNA
Rfam family: Bacterial small subunit ribosomal RNA
Source: RNAcentral